AUUUUAACCAUAGCUGAUUAUAAUAGGCAGCCAAAGUUUAAAACCACCGAGUUACUUCUUAGCACAAUUGUUUGGCCUGCAAUUUUAUUAGGAACUCAGGUUUUUGGUUUAUUAUGAUUUCAAGCAUCAGGACUAAGGUAUAAUUACCAGGGUAUUAAGGCAUUGUAGAUACAUAGCUUUACCACACAAAUGCCAGAAUACUGGAAAGGAUAAUCACAUCUCUCAGUUUGAAAAGUCCUGUUUUCAAGCUGCUAUUACAUCCAUCUUCAGAAUUUAUUGCCUAGGGUUUGCAGAUGGUGGAGUGCUACUUAGAAGAGACACCCUGUUGGGAAAACCACAUUGCGGUGCAAUUAAUAACCAGGGAGUUUCCUUUCCACAUCCUCUUAAUUCUUGACAUCAGAACUCCAUGAUGACUGUCAGGGGUUUAAUGGUGACCUGAGGUCCUGACCUUCUCAACAGAAUAAGAAGGAAAAUUCAGAGGGAAAAAAGUUGAAAUAUGGAUUGACAGAGAGUCUCAAAUUUGUGUUGGAUAAGCCCCGUAUGAGGACCAUGUGAAAUCUCUGGGCUCAGCAUACGGAGAUUCUGAUUCAGCAUGUCUGCACUGCGAGGCAGACCAGUCUACGUCUUUAACAGGCACUUCCACUCCCCGAUCCCUAGGAUUCUGCUGCAAGGACAUCACGCAUCACACUGAGAGAAGC
Molecule: long non-coding RNA, 698 nt
Filed under: Equus caballus (horse)
Lineage: Eukaryota; Metazoa; Chordata; Mammalia; Perissodactyla; Equidae
Description: lncRNA (ENSECAG00000057423.1)
Source: RNAcentral